Molecule: long non-coding RNA, 1347 nt
Filed under: Homo sapiens (human)
Lineage: Eukaryota; Metazoa; Chordata; Mammalia; Primates; Hominidae
Description: long intergenic non-protein coding RNA, p53 induced transcript
Source: RNAcentral
AAGUGAGUGAGAAGAGGUGGGAGGAAGAGAAACUACGCCACCUCCCCUGCAGCCGAGUGCACGCAGCAGCCUGGCGUGACAAGUGGGCGACGCCGGGGGGCAGGGAGCCGGGGUCCUUGGCCCUGGCCGGGGACCCCACCGCCCACCGCGCGGAGGACAACUUUUAGCCGGCAGCCCAGACCAGCGCGGCACCUGUCUCCGGAGUCUCCACCGCUCCUCCCGAUUCAUCCCAGGGAAAUUCUCAAGAAUACGCUCUACAAAUCUACGUGCGCAUCAUUUUCACCUCGCGUCGCGCCCGGGAGGAAGGAACGAGGCAAGGAGCUAAAGCAGCGUGCGUUCAGCCCUGGGGAGGAAAAUGGAAGAAACGGAGAUACUUUUAGUGAAGCAGAAUAAACCACUGAACAGAUGGAGUCUCACUCUGUUGCCCAGACUGGAAUGCAGUGGUGUGAUCUCAACUGACUGCAACCUCCGUAUCCUGGGUUCAAGCAACUCUCCUGCUGCAGCCACGAAAAAUGAGGAAGCUGUGAGUACCAGUGGAAGGAACGAGCCAGGAAGAGGGACUGGAACCAUCUCAGAAGCCAUGCCCCUCAGGCUGGAACUUGCCCUGUCUCCUCGCAGAUGAGCUACCUCUUGUGUUUAAGAAUUAAAGGAAGAUGAGCUAGGAAUCAAGAAAUACGCAGAACUGAUUCCUGUCACUGGCGCCACCCUGCCACUUGCCCAGAGCUGUGGUAUAAAUUUUUUUAAUAGGCUGAAAUAAAAAUAUGAAUAGCAUUUUGGUAUUAAGCAUUAAAUUGAUAAAGGCUAUGAGAUACACCUGCUCUCAACCAUGUUAAUUUUUUAUUAUUGGUAUUAAUAAAUUAUUACUUACUAACAUAUUAACAAGAAUUGCAUUGAGAAACAAAGCAUCCACAGGCCAAAUCUUCUGAAUUUCAAAUGUUUAUAUUAAUGCGUUGUAUUCUAGAAAAGUAGAAUUGUCUUAAGUAGCUUUGUAAUAUAAAGUCAUCUAUCAGCCCAUUACACCUAUUAGAAUGUUUUAACCUUUAUUUCCCACUUUUUUGUUUCUAGACUGAGUGUACUUGGUCUGGUAUUUGUGGCAUAACUUACGGAACACAUAAGAAUGAUACAGAUACUAUUUAAUGAUGACCUAAUACAAGCUUAGAUAGCUAAGGUGAAAGCUUCUAUGGCCUUAACAUUUUCCUCUUGAAGAAUGUAUUUUCUGUAAUAAAAUACAGUGGCUACUUGAAAUCUAUAAACUUAUGUGAGGUCUGGAUAAAUCUGAGCAACUUUCUUCUUUGUGCUCCAGGAACCUACGCACUAUAUAUAUAAAUAAAGCUUAAGUAAACAUCA